AGUGAACGCUGGCGGUAGGCCUAACACAUGCAAGUCGAACGGCAGCACAGUAAGAGCUUGCUCUUACGGGUGGCGAGUGGCGGACGGGUGAGGAAUACAUCGGAAUCUACUUUUUCGUGGGGGAUAACGUAGGGAAACUUACGCUAAUACCGCAUACGACCUACGGGUGAAAGCAGGGGAUCUUCGGACCUUGCGCGAUUGAAUGAGCCGAUGUCGGAUUAGCUAGUUGGCGGGGUAAAGGCCCACCAAGGCGACGAUCCGUAGCUGGUCUGAGAGGAUGGUAAGCCACACUGGAACUGAGACACGGUCCAUACUCCUACGGGAGGCAGCAGUGGGGAAUAUUGGACAAUGGGCGCAAGCCUGAUCCAGCCAUACCGAGUGGGUGAAGAAGGCCUUCGGGUUGUAAAGCCCUUUUGUUGGGAAAGAAAAGCAGCAGGUUAAUACCCCGCUGUUCUGACGGUACCCAAAGAAUAAGCACCGGCUAACUUCGUG
This 492-nucleotide ribosomal RNA is filed under the name uncultured bacterium. RNAcentral's name for it is "partial 16S ribosomal RNA". It matches the Rfam family "Bacterial small subunit ribosomal RNA", at positions 29 to 507 of the family's 1533-position model. The record is from RNAcentral.